RNAcentral lists this long non-coding RNA (234 nucleotides) under Brassica napus (rape). Its description in RNAcentral is "long non-coding RNA (BNAP_LNC018077)". The record is from RNAcentral. Lineage: Eukaryota; Viridiplantae; Streptophyta; Magnoliopsida; Brassicales; Brassicaceae.
AGCUGUCGGAGAGAUUCCUAGUUCUAAACUCUAAGACGGCAAUAACCUAGUUGAUUCGCAGCUCGAAUAACAAAAACGGAAAUAUGCAUAAAUCGCUCUAAGUGCUAAGUUCUCUAUGAAAAAGUCCCUCUCAUGCCUCUCCCCUAGGACUCCUUAUAUACUGGCUCCUAGGUCGGUUUACGCUUUUCCUCUUCUGCCCUUAGGCCGCCAUAGCAUAAAAAUGGAGAUAUUCUA